RNAcentral lists this ribosomal RNA (253 nucleotides) under Ligilactobacillus ruminis. RNAcentral describes it as "partial 16S ribosomal RNA". It matches the Rfam family "Bacterial small subunit ribosomal RNA", at positions 524 to 776 of the family's 1533-position model. Lineage: Bacteria; Bacillati; Bacillota; Bacilli; Lactobacillales; Lactobacillaceae. The record is from RNAcentral.
UACGUAGGUGGCGAGCGUUGUCCGGAUUUAUUGGGCGUAAAGGGAACGCAGGCAGUCUUUUAAGUCUGAUGUGAAAGCCUUCGGCUUAACCGAAGUAGUGCAUUGGAAACUGGAAGACUUGAGUGCAGAAGAGGAGAGUGGAACUCCAUGUGUAGCGGUGAAAUGCGUAGAUAUAUGGAAGAACACCAGUGGCGAAAGCGGCUCUCUGGUCUGUAACUGACGCUGAGGUUCGAAAGCGUGGGUAGCAAACAGG